RNAcentral lists this ribosomal RNA (253 nucleotides) under uncultured bacterium. Its description in RNAcentral is "partial 16S ribosomal RNA". It matches the Rfam family "Bacterial small subunit ribosomal RNA", at positions 524 to 776 of the family's 1533-position model. The record is from RNAcentral.
UACGUAGGGUGCAGGCGUUAAUCGGAAUUACUGGGCGUAAAGCGUGCGCAGGCGGUCUGCUAAGACAGGUGUGAAAUCCCCGGGCUUAACCUGGGAACUGCGCUUGUUACUGGCAGGCUGGAGUGUGGCAGAGGGGGGUGGAAUUCCACGUGUAGCAGUGAAAUGCGUAGAGAUCGGGAGGAACAUCAGUGGCGAAGGCGGCCAUCUGGGACAACACUGACGCUGAGGCACGAAAGCGUGGGGAGCAAACGGG